RNAcentral lists this long non-coding RNA (704 nucleotides) under Olea europaea (common olive). RNAcentral describes it as "long non-coding RNA (OEUR_LNC014291)". The record is from RNAcentral. Lineage: Eukaryota; Viridiplantae; Streptophyta; Magnoliopsida; Lamiales; Oleaceae.
UUUUUCUUUUUUGUUUGUUUUGUUUAAACAGAAGGGUAUUUUAGUCAUUUUACGAUAAAAAUUGGUAAAAAAAAGACGUCUAACGCAAAAAAAUGUGAAAAUAGAGGUAAAAAUAUCAAAAAAUAAAAAGUAUGAACGUUUUACACAAUAAUUUCGAAAGGUAAUGACGUUUUUUGCCAAUUACCUUUUUUAAAAUAUUCUUCCAAGCUCUAAAUUAUAAACAAUAUGUCUCCAUUGGUCUAAAAUAUCAGCGUUGACUCGCUAUUCGAAAUGUUAAAACUGAACUCUCACCCAACCUCGUUCCUCCCUAUAUAUUUAGGUCUCUAUUACAAUUAGGCUUCCAUUGCAAAAAUCCCGACGGAUGAAGGAGGCAAAACAGAGAGAUGGAAAUUUCUAAGGGUGGUUAUCCCUCUCUAUUUGCCUGUGAUUUCACUAUCCACAAAAUCUAACUGCCCUUUUAUACUCGGGUUUCUGAGCGUAUAUAUUCGGGGAAAAUUUCACCAAUGGUCACUGAAGUUUUAGCAAAACAUAAGCCUGCUUGGGAGUUUAUGAGUACCGGUUAUGGGGGUUUUAAGCAGCUCUUUGUUUGAUAAAGCUUUUUGAGAUUGCUGCUGCUGCUCAUACUAUGUGUAGGCUGUGAGGAUUCUUUUCGUUGAGUUGGGUCGGGCAAGGAAAAUUCGGAGCCGUAUCUUGGCGGGGCAANN